This is a long non-coding RNA of Symphalangus syndactylus (siamang), 327 nucleotides long. RefSeq lists it as uncharacterized. Lineage: Eukaryota; Metazoa; Chordata; Mammalia; Primates; Hylobatidae. The record is from RefSeq and is a predicted model, not a curated record.
AUUGGAUAACAUAUCUAAUUCAACUUCAUUAAACUCCAUUAAACGCAUUGUGAUUUGCGCAUAGAGAUGCUAGCUUCACAGCCUAAAGAGAGAAUUGUUCAGGAUCUGGAAAGAUGAGACCCUUGCUGUCUUUGUUUCCCUCUGUCCCAGCUUCUAAUACUGUGGGCACCUCACAGGAAAAAAUAGAAAAAGAAGACUUGAUCAAGCUCCAGAAUCUUUCCUGGCUAUGGUGAGAGAGUAAUCUAACUAUGGAAAAAUUGCCAGAGACAUGCAACAUUGCUGUCUUGGAGACAGAGGGAGGAGGCCAUGAGAGAAAGAAUAUGAGAG